GACAGAGGAUGCAAGCGUUAUCCGGAAUGAUUGGGCGUAAAGAGCUCGUAGGCGGCUUGUCGCGUCGGCUGUGAAAACCUGGGGCUCAACCCCGGGCCUGCAGCCGAUACGGGCAGACUGGAGUACUGCAGGGGAGACUGGAAUUCCUGGUGUAGCGGUGGAAUGCGCAGAUAUCAGGAGGAACACCGGUGGCGAAGGCAAUCCCCUGGGCCUGUACUGACGCUCAUGCACGAAAGCGUGGGGAGCAAACAGG
RNAcentral lists this ribosomal RNA (253 nucleotides) under uncultured bacterium. RNAcentral describes it as "partial 16S ribosomal RNA". It matches the Rfam family "Bacterial small subunit ribosomal RNA", at positions 524 to 776 of the family's 1533-position model. The record is from RNAcentral.